UACGAACCGUCCAAACGUUAUUCGGAAUUACUGGGCGUAAAGGGCGCGUAGGCGGCCUACUAAGUCGAACGUGAAAUCCCCGGGCUCAACCUAGGAACUGCGUCGGAUACUGGAUGGCUUGAAUUCGGGAGAGGGAUGCAGAAUUCCAGGUGUAGCGGUGAAAUGCGUAGAUAUCUGGAGGAAUACCGGUGGCGAAGGCGGCAUCCUGGACCGACAUUGACGCUGAACGGCGAAAGCUAGGGGAGCAAACGGG
RNAcentral lists this ribosomal RNA (253 nucleotides) under uncultured bacterium. RNAcentral describes it as "partial 16S ribosomal RNA". It matches the Rfam family "Bacterial small subunit ribosomal RNA", at positions 524 to 776 of the family's 1533-position model. The record is from RNAcentral.